UGCAGUGGAAGCGCGGAGUCUCAACCACUGGACCGCCAGGGAAGUCCCCAAAGAUACCAGCUGAUGCAAAGAUGUCUACCUAUCCAAGUAUUUACACUUGCUUUACGUGGCAUAAUUGCUGGCCACCUGGAGGCUACAAUUACAUAGCUGUAACAUGACUAGUUCUUGAGAAUAAUAUCUGAGAGUAAGCACUGGGUGUCACUUCCAGACCAAUAUGAUUAAGAACCACGUGUAUCUUUUUAAGAGACUCUGAAGACUAAGGAAUUACAAAAGUCACAAGUUGGAUGGAGCCUGGCUUCCUGAAUCACUACUCGAGGAUUGCUGCCCAUGGAUUGGGAAUACCCACUUCAACUUUACAUGAGAAAGAAAUAAACUUUUGGGUUUUACCUGUAUGGUUGCUAGCAUUAUGUAUGGUUGCUAGCAUUACCUUAACUAAUACAGUGACUAUCCAGUAAUAAUGGUCAAUUAUGUGACAAAAGUUAUGAGUAUGCCCAAAGUUCUUUACUGCAGAAAAAUUAGAAGGGAAAAAGCAACUAAAUAAAAUGAAUGAAAAGUACUUUUAGAAGAAUUCAUGUAAUAUUUAAUGGCCUGUUGGGAAUUAAGACCCCCUUGUAGAAAUUCCCAUAUGAAGGACUGCUUGAUUUCUGGUUUAGCAGAUCUGCAGACUCUCUAUUCUCUGCUGUAUAUACCCCUAGAUGAGGGGCCAAACCUGGCCUGCUGCGUGGCUCUGUAAAUAAAAUUUUAUUAGAACACA
This is a long non-coding RNA of Aethalodelphis obliquidens (Pacific white-sided dolphin), 754 nucleotides long. RefSeq lists it as uncharacterized. The transcript has 2 exons. Lineage: Eukaryota; Metazoa; Chordata; Mammalia; Artiodactyla; Delphinidae. The record is from RefSeq and is a predicted model, not a curated record.